GGCUGUUUAUGGCAGUGCUGCACAUGUGCCAACCAUUUCAGUGGUCAUUUGUCACUUGUGUUCUAUUAGUGCUACUUCCAAUGCUUUUCUAAUCUACUGAAAUUGAACACUUACUAGCCUUUCAAAGAUCCACCUUAAAUCCUUAACUCUUUACUGUUUGCAGACCCUCUUUAACUGUCCAAUAUUCAAAUUUCGGACAUAGAGCUUGUACCAUAA
Molecule: long non-coding RNA, 216 nt
Filed under: Elaeis guineensis (African oil palm)
Lineage: Eukaryota; Viridiplantae; Streptophyta; Magnoliopsida; Arecales; Arecaceae
Description: long non-coding RNA (EGUI_LNC057105)
Source: RNAcentral